GGAUGUGAGGGCGAUCUGGCUGUGACAUCCAUCACCCCAUUGAUCGCCAAGGUUGUUUGGCUGAUCUGGCUGGCUAGGCGGGUGUCUCCAUCAUCCCUCACCGUCCAAUGUGUGUCGCUCCCGAAGCUGUGAGCUGGGUCAAAGAGGAGGGCCUUCCCGGAAUAGAGACAGACCAGUGGAGGGUGUGCAAGUAGCUGUGCUCCCCUGCUAGAAUCUCCAAACAAGCUCUCAAAACAGUAGUAGCCAGGCCACAAUGAAGAAAAUUUUGAAGGAAGUAGCAAAAGUGAAUUCGGAGGAAGUU
Erinaceus europaeus (western European hedgehog) is the source of this 301-nucleotide unclassified non-coding RNA. Its record names the gene 7SK. It matches the Rfam family "7SK RNA". From Rfam's summary of the family: 7SK was discovered as an abundant small nuclear RNA in the mid-70s but a possible function has only recently been suggested. Two independent studies have found that 7SK RNA binds the CDK9/cyclin T complex (known as elongation factor P-TEFb). The record is from Ensembl. NCBI's taxonomy places the organism in Eukaryota, Metazoa, Chordata, Mammalia, Eulipotyphla, Erinaceidae.